Molecule: ribosomal RNA, 497 nt
Filed under: uncultured bacterium
Lineage: Bacteria
Description: partial 16S ribosomal RNA
Rfam family: Bacterial small subunit ribosomal RNA
Source: RNAcentral
GAUGAACGCUGGCGGCGUGCCUAAUACAUGCAAGUCGAGCGAACGGACGAGAAGCUUGCUUCUCUGAUGUUAGCGGCGGACGGGUGAGUAACACGUGGAUAACCUACCUAUAAGACUGGGAUAACUUCGGGAAACCGGAGCUAAUACCGGAUAAUAUUUUGAACCGCAUGGUUCAAAAGUGAAAGACGGUCUUGCUGUCACUUAUAGAUGGAUCCGCGCUGCAUUAGCUAGUUGGUAAGGUAACGGCUUACCAAGGCAACGAUGCAUAGCCGACCUGAGAGGGUGAUCGGCCACACUGGAACUGAGACACGGUCCAGACUCCUACGGGAGGCAGCAGUAGGGAAGCUUCCGCCAUGGGCGAAAGCCUGACGGAGCAACGCCGCGUGAGUGAUGAAGGUCUUCGGAUCGUAAAACUCUGUUAUUAGGGAAGAACAUAUGUGUAAGUAACUGUGCACAUCUUGACGGUACCUAAUCAGAAAGCCACGGCUAACUACGUG